Molecule: non-coding RNA, 129 nt
Organism: Apis mellifera (honey bee)
Lineage: Eukaryota; Metazoa; Arthropoda; Insecta; Hymenoptera; Apidae
Source: Rfam
AGACAUCUGUUCCUUAGAUAUGAUAUUUCAUUUCAUGUUUGAUUUCAGAAUGUCUUAAAAUAAAUGAAUUGCUUCACCCAGAAUUGUUAUAUUCAUUGCACUGUCUGGCUUUUGCGGGUUCAUACAAAU